CAGCCGCCGCGGGAAUACGAGGGGGGCAAGCGUUGUUCGGAAUUACUGGGCGUAAAGCGUGCGCAGGCGGUUGUGUAAGACAGGUGUGAAAUCCCCGGGCUUAACCUGGGAACUGCGCUUGUGACUGCACAGCUAGAGUAUGGCAGAGGGGGGUGGAAUUCCACGUGUAGCAGUGAAAUGCGUAGAGAUGUAGAGGAACACCGAUGGCGAAGGCAGCCCCCUGGGCCAAUACUGACGCUCAUGCACGAAAGCGUGGGGAACAAACAGGAUUAGAUACCCCUGUAGUCCCUGUCUCUUAUAC
Molecule: ribosomal RNA, 301 nt
Filed under: uncultured bacterium
Lineage: Bacteria
Description: partial 16S ribosomal RNA
Rfam family: Bacterial small subunit ribosomal RNA
Source: RNAcentral